Long non-coding RNA from Astatotilapia calliptera (eastern happy), 3396 nucleotides. The record is from Ensembl. Lineage: Eukaryota; Metazoa; Chordata; Actinopteri; Cichliformes; Cichlidae.
GGUCAGACCCCUUCCUCUAAAACGCGUUGGCUCUAUGAACAGAUCCUGUCCAUUUGUGUAUCCGCUGUGAUGGCUACCGCUGGCCACACCAUAAAUGUCAACAGCACUUCUCAGCAGUACACUCAGCAACCGACUGCAGCACCUGGGCCCUCUCAGUCCCACCAGAGAGCGUCCUACCAGCCAGCACCAGCUCAGCCUGAUGACCCAGCUGAGCUCAUGACCACAUCACCCAGCCAUGAACAGCCAUUCCUAAGACCACCACCAUCAUACGAGGAAACAACUGGUCCUGCCUACCCUCUACAACUGAUGCCUUCCAGUGAGACAGUGUUCAUCCCACUGUACCUAUCAGAGGGUACUGUGCAUGAGCACAACGGUCUACAGGACAGCACAGACUUCCUAACCAGCACUGCAUGCGACCCUGAAUUUGUUAUACGCUAGGCUUAAUAGUCAUAGCGCCCCAAGCAGACACAAACAUGAUGCAAAAUAUUUGGCUCAAAUGGAAGUAUGUACUUUGAAUGAAGAUGAGACACAGCAGUGUAACUUGAUGUAUUUUCAAUUUUAUUCUUUAAACCAGUUUUUAGUGGCUCAAGUUAUUUAGAAAAAUUGAAACAUAAGGUCACUGUUUCUCACUAAUUGUCUUUGGCCUUAUUCCUCAAGAUCUCUCCCUCUUGUCUUUACUCUCUAUCGGGGAAAGUACUUGACAGUCAGAUUCAGUUGUCAGCAGUUAGAAGGUGUUUCAGUGUUCAUUAGAAAUGCAUCGAUGGAUGCACAUGCAAGAUAAAUAUGAACACGUUAAAGAAGCUGACGUUAAAGUCAGGCGGUUGUACAGAAAAUCAUUGUGAAGUUAAUAACUUUUGUUAUUAUUUUAUUAUAGUCUCUUAUUAUAUUUUUUUACAUUGGAUACAGUUUGAGUUAUAGAUUUUAGAAAAACAAUCAGUUGUUAAACAGUGCGUCUCUAGUAUCUGUGGAUAUCGUCUCAUCGCUAUCUAUGAAUUUACUGCAGACCUGCAAAGUGCUGUUAACCCUUUUUCUCUGUGUAUUUGUGUGCAUUGCCUUGUAAGUCAUGCCCCAUGUGAAUGAAUUCAAAGAGUGCAAACAUUUAUUACUGAGGGUUUUUUCUCCAUUCAUGUCAGGUCAGCUGAUCACUCACACUUCCUGAACACAUACAGUUCCACUUUUUUAAUGCAUGUUGUUUUCAGUGUGUAAAAGAUGCGUUUACACUGUAUUAUUUUUGUUAGGACAUCACACGCUCCCCCAUUGAGUGAGCUGAAUUCUGGAUCUGUAAUUUAUGCUCUAGGUAAUUAUUGAAAUGAACUGACUGCUCCUUUGUAUAUACAUUUUCUCACGGAUAGAUCGAUGUGCAGCGGCCCUUCGGUCUCCCUUUACAGGGAGUGCAGAAUUAUUAGGCAAAUGAGUAUUUUGUCCACAUCAUCCUCUUCAUGCAUGUUGUCUUACUCCAAGCUGUAUAGGCUCGAAAGCCUACUACCAAUUAAGCAUAUUAGGUGAUGUGCAUCUCUGUAAUGAGAAGGGGUGUGGUCUAAUGACAUCAACACCCUAUAUCAGGUGUGCAUAAUUAUUAGGCAACUUCCUUUCCUUUGGCAAAAUGGGUCAAAAGAAGGACUUGACAGGCACAGAAAAGUCAAAAAUAGUGAGAUAUCUUGCAGAGGGAUGCAGCAGUCUCAAAAUUGCAAAGCUUCUGAAGCGUGAUCAUCGAACAAUCAAGCGUUUCAUUCAAAGUAGUCAACAGGGUCGCAAGAAGCGUGUGGAAAAACCAAGGCGCAAAAUAACUGCCCAUGAACUGAGAAAAGUCAAGCGUGCAGCUGCCAAGAUGCCACUUGCCACCAGUUUGGCCAUAUUUCAGAGCUGCAACAUCACUGGAGUGCCCAAAAGCACAAGGUGUGCAAUACUCAGAGACAUGGCCAAGGUAAGAAAGGCUGAAAGACGACCACCACUGAACAAGACACACAAGCUGAAACGUCAAGACUGGGCCAAGAAAUAUCUCAAGACUGAUUUUUCUAAGGUUUUAUGGACUGAUGAAAUGAGAGUGAGUCUUGAUGGGCCAGAUGGAUGGGCCCGUGGCUGGAUUGGUAAAGGGCAGAUAGCUCCAGUCCGACUCAGACGCCAGCAAGGUGGAGGUGGAGUACUGGUUUGGGCUGGUAUCAUCAAAGAUGAGCUUGUGGGGCCUUUUCGGGUUGAGGAUGGAGUCAAGCUCAACUCCCAGUCCUACUGCCAGUUUCUGGAAGACACCUUCUUCAAGCAGUGGUACAGGAAGAAGUCUGCAUCGUUCAAGAAAAACAUGAUUUUCAUGCAGGACAAUGCUCCAUCACACGUCCAAGUACUCCACAGCGUGGCUGGCAAGAAAGGGUAUAAAAGAAGAAAAACUAAUGACAUGGCCUCCUUGUUCACCUGAUCUGAACUCCAUUGAGAACAUGUGGUCCAUCAUCAAAUGUGAGAUUUACAAGGAGGGAAAACAGUACACCUCUCUGAACAGUGUCUGGGAGGCUGUGGUUGCUGCUGCACGCAAUGUUGAUGGUGAACAGAUCAAAACACUGACAGAAUCCAUGGAUGGCAGGCUUUUGAGUGUCCUUGCAAAGACAGGUGGCUAUAUUGGUCGCUGAUUUGUUUUUGUUUUGUUUUUGAAUGUCAGAAAUGUAUAUUUGUGAAUGUGGAGAUGUUAUAUUAGUUUCACUGGUAAAAAUAAAUUAUUGAAAUGGGUAUAUAUUUGUUUUUGUUAAGUUGCCUAAUAAUUAUGCACAGUAAUAGUCACCUGCACACACAGAUAUCCCCCUAAAAUAGCUAAAACUAAAAACAAACUGAAAACUACUUCCAAAAACAUUCAGCUUUGAUAUUAAUGAGUUUUUUCGGUUCAUUGAGAACAUGGUUGUUGUUCAAUAAUAAAAUUAUUCCUCAAAAAUACAACUUGCCUAAUAAUUCUGCACUCCCUGUACUGUACAUCCUGUACCUUAGCCUGUGUAGUGAUAUUGACAACAAAAAUAAUUAAAAAUACACUUACCCAUCGGGGCGCCGGAAACUGGUAGAUUGCAGGUAUGCCAGUUUGUCAGUCCAGCUCUGGCUGGUAAACCAAACCAGAUUAAUUAAUCUGGCCUAAAUAUUGUUAUGAGAGUUGUGAAAACUCAUUUUGUCGUUAUUGAUUUUCUGGCACGGAAUACCUUUGAAGUAGCAAAUAAAUUACGAUCGAUUAAACUUACUAUCAAUAUGUUUUUUUCCUCUUAUGAAAUAAAAGUGUCGGAGUUUCGAGCCUGUGCGGUUUCGCCAAACUUGCAGUCGAGAAUUUUCAAAGUAAAAGCCAUCUAAAGCGUCAAAAAUUAAUUGUUAACAUGCCAAUUUUUACUGUCUUGAUUUUAAUUCGACAAUAAAUAAACAAACAGACUUCUG